RNAcentral lists this transfer RNA (73 nucleotides) under Butyrivibrio sp. RNAcentral describes it as "tRNA-Arg". It matches the Rfam family "tRNA". From Rfam's summary of the family: Transfer RNA (tRNA) molecules are approximately 80 nucleotides in length. Their secondary structure includes four short double-helical elements and three loops (D, anti-codon, and T loops). Further hydrogen bonds mediate the characteristic L-shaped molecular structure. tRNAs have two regions of fundamental functional importance: the anti-codon, which is responsible for specific mRNA codon recognition, and the 3' end, to which the tRNAs corresponding amino acid is attached (by aminoacyl-tRNA synthetases). tRNAs cope with the degeneracy of the genetic code in two manners: having more than one tRNA (with a specific anti-codon) for a particular amino acid; and 'wobble' base-pairing, i.e. permitting non-standard base-pairing at the 3rd anti-codon position. The record is from RNAcentral. RNAcentral also lists the same sequence under 1 other name. Lineage: Bacteria; Bacillati; Bacillota; Clostridia; Lachnospirales; Lachnospiraceae.
GUCCCCUUCGCCAAGUGGAAAAGGCAUGAGAUUUCUAAUCUCACAUACGCGGGUCCGAAUCCUGCAGGGGAUA